GGAGGCAGCAGUAGGGAAUCUUCCACAAUGGACGCAAGUCUGAUGGAGCAACGCCGCGUGAGUGAAGAAGGGUUUCGGCUCGUAAAGCUCUGUUGUUAAAGGAGAACGUGGGUAAGAGUAACUGUUUACCCAGUGACGGUAUCUAAUCAGAAAGCCACGGCUAACUACGUGCCAGCAGCCGCGGUAAUACGUAGGUGGCAAGCGUUAUCCGGAUUUAUUGGGCGUAAAGCGAGCGCAGGCGGUCUUUUAAGUCUAAUGUGAAAGCCUUCGGCUCAACCGAAGAAGUGCAUUGGAAACUGGGAGACUUGAGUGCAGAAGAGGACAGUGGAACUCCAUGUGUAGCGGUGAAAUGCGUAGAUAUAUGGAAGAACACCAGUGGCGAAGGCGGCUGUCUGGUCUGCAACUGACGCUGAGGCUCGAAAGCAUGGGUAGCGAACAGGAUUAGAUACCCUGGUAGUCCAUGCCGUAAACGAUGAUUACUAAGUGUUGGAGGGUUUCCGCCCUUCAGUGCUGCAGCUAACGCAUUAAGUAAUCCGCCUGGGGAGUACGACCGCAAGGUUGAAACUCAAAAGAAUUGACGGGGGCCCGCACAAGCGGUGGAGCAUGUGGUUUAAUUCGAAGCUACGCGAAGAACCUUACCAGGUCUUGACAUCUUCUGACAGUCUAAGAGAUUAGAGGUUCCCUUCGGGGACAGAAUGACAGGUGGUGCAUGGUUGUCGUCAGCUCGUGUCGUGAGAUGUUGGGUUAAGUCCCGCAACGAGCGCAACCCUUAUUACUAGUUGCCAGCAUUAAGUUGGGCACUCUAGUGAGACUGCCGGUGACAAACCGGAGGAAGGUGGGGACGACGUCAAAUCAUCAUGCCCCUUAUGACCUGGGCUACACACGUGCUACAAUGGAUGGUACAACGAGUCGCGAGACCGCGAGGUUAAGCUAAUCUCUUAAAACCAUUCUCAGUUCGGACUGUAGGCUGCAACUCGCCUACACGAAGUCGGAAUCGCUAGUAAUCGCGGAUCAGCAUGCCGCGGUGAAUACGUUCCCGGGCCUUGUACACACCGCCCGUCACACCAUGAGAGUUUGUAACACCCAAAGCCGGUGGGGUAACCUUUUAGGAGCUAGCCGUCUAAGGUGGGACAGAUGAUUAGGGUGAAGUCGUAACA
Molecule: ribosomal RNA, 1157 nt
Filed under: Pediococcus pentosaceus
Lineage: Bacteria; Bacillati; Bacillota; Bacilli; Lactobacillales; Lactobacillaceae
Description: bacterial SSU rRNA
Rfam family: Bacterial small subunit ribosomal RNA
Source: RNAcentral